This 893-nucleotide ribosomal RNA is filed under the name uncultured Bacteroidia bacterium. RNAcentral describes it as "bacterial SSU rRNA". It matches the Rfam family "Bacterial small subunit ribosomal RNA", at positions 27 to 896 of the family's 1533-position model. The record is from RNAcentral. Lineage: Bacteria; Pseudomonadati; Bacteroidota; Bacteroidia.
GGAUGAACGCUAGCGACAGGCCUAACACAUGCAAGUCGAGGGGCAUCGGGACGUAGCAAUACGUUGCCGGCGACCGGCGGAUGGGUGAGUAACGCGUAUGCAACCUACCCGUAGCAGGGGGAUAGCCCGUUGAAAGACGGAUUAAUACCCCGUAACACAGGGGCUCCGCAUGGAGAUUAUUGUUAAAGGGUCAUUUCUUUUAGAGGUGGUCCGGCUACGGAUGGGCAUGCGUUCCAUUAGGUAGUUGGUGUAGGUAACGGCUCACCAAGCCGACGAUGGAUAGGGGAACUGAGAGGUUGGUCCCCCACACUGGUACUGAGACACGGACCAGACUCCUACGGGAGGCAGCAGUGAGGAAUCUUGGUCAAUGGACGCAAGUCUGAACCAGCCAUGUCGCGUGAAGGAGGACGGCCCUAAGGGUUGUAAACUUCUUUUGCAGCGGAAUAAAGUUUGCCACGAGUUGGCGAUUUGCAAGUACGCUGCGAAUAAGGAUCGGCUAACUCCGUGCCAGCAGCCGCGGUAAUACGGAGGAUCCGGGCGUUAUCCGGAUUUAUUGGGUUUAAAGGGUGCGCAGGCGGGGAUUUAGGUCGGCGGUGAAAUUUCGGGGCUCAACCUCGACAGUGCCGUUGAAACCGUUUCUCUUGAGUGCGGAUGAGGUAGGCGGAAUUUGUGGUGUAGCGGUGAAAUGCGUAGAUAUCACAAGGAACACCGAUUGCGGUGGCAGCUUACUAAACCGUUACUGACGCUCAUGCACGAAGGCGUGGGGAUCAAACAGGAUUAGAUACCCUGGUAGUCCACGCAGUAAACGAUGAUUACUUGCUGUUUGCGAUACACAGUAAGCGGCGUAGCGAAAGCGUUAAGUAAUCCACCUGGGGAGUACGUUCGCAAGAAUG